Molecule: long non-coding RNA, 503 nt
Organism: Alexandromys fortis (reed vole)
Lineage: Eukaryota; Metazoa; Chordata; Mammalia; Rodentia; Cricetidae
Exons: 3
Source: RefSeq, a predicted model, not a curated record
UCCUUCGAGCUCCUGCUCUAUACAAAAACCUUUUAGAUCUUCUGGGCUUGAUGGCUGAAGACUGAUGCUGCCCCAGGACCUCAGUUCCCAUUCAAAACCAUCAACUACCAUGGAGGAGCAUGGAGUAAGUUCCCAGGUACUGGUUCGUGUGAGCUCCAGAGGAUUACAACCUGGAUCUAUCUUUCAUAGCUGGAUGAAGUUUCUUGUCUGAAGGAAAUGCAUAAAUAGAGUCUGGAUAUAGAACUGAAAACAGGGAAGUGGAAUGAAAAUGACCAAGAGAAUUUGAUGAAGAUUCCCAGUGUGUGGUUGAGAUCUGCCAGCAUCAGCCUUACCUGGAUGCUUGUUAGGAAUCCCAAAUCCAGGUCUCAUGUAAGACUUCCUAACUCAGACCUAUGCUAUCAUAAGAUCCCAGGUGUUUUCUCUUGAAAUGUGAAGAGAACUGGAAGAUAGACACCUGAAUCCCACAUGCAGAAGACUAAAUACCCUAUCAUACACACACACAC